Molecule: unclassified non-coding RNA, 377 nt
Filed under: uncultured Thermoactinomycetaceae bacterium
Lineage: Bacteria; Bacillati; Bacillota; Bacilli; Caryophanales; Thermoactinomycetaceae
Description: contains 16S-23S intergenic spacer region
Source: RNAcentral
UCCGGCUUUCACCGGCUGUCUCCUUAGAGAGCCCAACAUUACUUGCUGGCAACUAAGGACAAGGGUUGCGCUCGUUGCGGGACUGAACCCAACAUCUCACGACACGAGCUGACGACAACCAUGCACCACCUGUCACUUCUGCCCCGAAGGGAACCUCUAUCUCUAGAGGGAUCAGAAGGAUGUCAAGCCUUGGUAAGGUUCUUCGCGUUGCUUCGAAUUAAACCACAUGCUCCACCGCUUGUGCGGGCCCCCGUCAAUUCCUUUGAGUUUCAACCUUGCGGUCGUACUCCCCAGGCGGAGUGCUUAAUGUGUUAACUUCGGCACUGAGGACGUGAUGCCCCCAACACCUAGCACUCAUCGUUUACGGCGUGGACUAC